ACAAACUUGGUCAUUUAGAGGAAGUAAAAGUCGUAACAAGGUUUCCGUAGGUGAACCUGCGGAAGGAUCAUUACAAAUCCAUCCAUCACGUCUCUACCCGAGACCACGUUGAAAUGUUGUGUGCUGUCACAGUGCGGGUGCACGUGGCGUGGCGGCAGCAGCGCGCGCACGACAAACAGCGGCGAGGGGGGGCCAGAUUCCCCCUGUCCGCUUGCCUUGUCGUGUCGUCGUCGUUGCUGCGCCUGCCUGCCCGUGCCCCAACGUGCACAAACGAGUUGAUAUUGUUGUCCAAGUGUAUUGUGUUUUCGAACCUCAGUACAACUUAUAACAAUGGAUCUCUAGGCUCUUGCAUCGAUGAAGAACGCAGC
Molecule: unclassified non-coding RNA, 368 nt
Filed under: uncultured fungus
Lineage: Eukaryota; Fungi
Description: partial contains small subunit ribosomal RNA, internal transcribed spacer 1, and 5.8S ribosomal RNA
Rfam family: Eukaryotic small subunit ribosomal RNA (bases 1-73)
Source: RNAcentral